UACAGAGGGUGCGAGCGUUAAUCGGAAUUACUGGGCGUAAAGGGUGCGUAGGUGGUUUUAUAAGUUAGGUGUGAAAGUCCAGGGCUUAACCUUGGGACUGCGCCUAAUACUGUAGAGCUAGAGUACUGUAGAGGAAGGUGGAAUUUCCGGUGUAGCGGUGAAAUGCGUAGAUAUCGGAAGGAACAUCAGUGGCGAAGGCGACUUUCUGGACAGAUACUGACACUGAGGCACGAAAGCGUGGGGAGCAAACAGG
This 253-nucleotide ribosomal RNA is filed under the name uncultured bacterium. Its description in RNAcentral is "partial 16S ribosomal RNA". It matches the Rfam family "Bacterial small subunit ribosomal RNA", at positions 524 to 776 of the family's 1533-position model. The record is from RNAcentral.